RNAcentral lists this ribosomal RNA (253 nucleotides) under uncultured bacterium. RNAcentral describes it as "partial 16S ribosomal RNA". It matches the Rfam family "Bacterial small subunit ribosomal RNA", at positions 524 to 776 of the family's 1533-position model. The record is from RNAcentral.
UACGUAGGGUGCGAGCGUUAAUCGGAAUUACUGGGCGUAAAGCGUGCGCAGGCGGUUGGUUAAGGCUGAUGUGAAAGCCCCGGGCUCAACCUGGGAAUGGCAUUGGAAACUGGCUAGCUGGAGUGUGGCAGAGGGGGGUGGAAUUCCGCGUGUAGCAGUGAAAUGCGUAGAGAUGCGGAGGAACACCGGUGGCGAAGGCGGCGUCCUGGACCAACACUGACACUGAGGAGCGAAAGCCAGGGGAGCAAACGGG